RNAcentral lists this ribosomal RNA (253 nucleotides) under uncultured bacterium. Its description in RNAcentral is "partial 16S ribosomal RNA". It matches the Rfam family "Bacterial small subunit ribosomal RNA", at positions 524 to 776 of the family's 1533-position model. The record is from RNAcentral.
UACGAAGGGGGCUAGUGUUGCUCGGAAUCACUGGGCGUAAAGCGCACGUAGGCGGCUUCUUAAGUCAGGGGUGAAAUCCUGGAGCUCAACUCCAGAACUGCCUUUGAUACUGAGGAGCUUGAGUCCGGGAGAGGUGAGUGGAACUGCGAGUGUAGAGGUGAAAUUCGUAGAUAUUCGCAAGAACACCAGUGGCGAAGGCGGCUCACUGGCCCGGUACUGACGCUGAGGUGCGAAAGCGUGGGGAGCAAACAGG